This is a long non-coding RNA of Oncorhynchus tshawytscha (Chinook salmon), 1311 nucleotides long. RefSeq lists it as uncharacterized. Lineage: Eukaryota; Metazoa; Chordata; Actinopteri; Salmoniformes; Salmonidae. The record is from RefSeq and is a predicted model, not a curated record. The transcript is spliced from 4 exons.
AGUGGUAGGGUGGGGGCAGGGGUGUAUAUCCCAGAUUUCAAUGUUUGAGUAUGUAAGCGGUUAACUGAUUGUGUCAGUUUAUGCAGCCGAGUUGAUGGCCAUAAUUAUAGGUUUGAAAUGGGUGGAGGAGGUGAAACCACUCAGAGUGGUGAUCUGCUCUGAUUCGACUGCAGUGUUGAGUAGUGUGAAGACGAGCAGGUCGGAUAGUGGAGACUUGUUUGUGUAAAUGAUGGUGCUGUUAAUGGGAUGGGAGUGGUGAUAAGCUUUUGCUGGGUUCCCGCCAACGUGGGUGUGGAGGGUAAUUAGAAGGCUGAUGUGAUGACUAAGAGGGCAGUGAGGAGAGAGGGGGUAGAUAUUCAGUUCCCGUUGGGCCGUAGGGAAGUCAAGUCCUUGAUUCGGGCAAAAGGGCUCGAUCUUUGUCAAAGGAAGUGGUAUGCUAGUAGUAAGGGGAGGCAAUUUUAUCGCAUUCACCGGUCAGUUAAGGAAGAGGUGGGCAGUAUGGGAUGUAGGAGAGAGGAAGUUGUGUGGAGUGGACUGCGGUUUGGACACACCAGGUUUGAAUGCCACGUUGUGGAUGAUAAGGAGACAUGAAACAGAUACUAAUGACGACAUGGUCCUGAAAGCUCAGGAGACUGCUGAGGGGAGGACAGCUCAUAAUAAUGGCUGCAAUGAAGUGAAUGGAAUGGUAUCAAACACUUUUUCGAUACCUUUCCAUUAAUUCCGUUCCAGCCAUUACUAUUACCAAAUAAGGUGCGACCAACCUCGUGACCCUGAAAGUAUUUCUCCCACCACCAGUUUCCCGUGUGCAGAUACGAAAGACGACCUGAUCUUGAGACUGAUUCUCCCACCACAAGUAACGAGUUGGAAAAAAGACUGCCUGCCCAAGCUUUGAUGAGGCCUGAAAGUCAUAUUGUACCGUUGCAACCAAUAUGGCUGAAUAUCUUCGCCAGGCGACCAAAAGGACAAGAGGAACCGAACCCUUUGCUCUGACUCUCGUGUGACAAUCACCCCUACUCCAUGGCAUUCACUAUCAUGAGCAGGCUCUGGAGCAGAGGACAUUAUGUUUAGCUGUUUUACAAGAAUUCAUAUGGAAAAUGGAUACCUGGUAGGGGUUUGGGGGAGUAAAGGGUAAAGUGUUUACUUUUCUUCACCCCCUUUCCUCAGCUUUAAUUGCUGGGGCUCCUGUGAUUUUUGAAAUGAUGGAUUGUGCUAAAGUUUUUAUUUGUGUGUUCCUUAUUUGUUUAUCCUUUGCAUGACUUCACUUUGGAGCUGAAAUGAAUCAUUCAAAAUACACAUUUUGUAUUUUAUCUA